GCUUCCAUAGCUCAGUCGGUUAGAGCACAGUGCUAAUAACGCUGGGGUCCUAGGUUCGAAUCCCAGUGGAAGCA
Transfer RNA from Spraguea lophii 42_110, 74 nucleotides. It matches the Rfam family "tRNA". Rfam says of the family: Transfer RNA (tRNA) molecules are approximately 80 nucleotides in length. Their secondary structure includes four short double-helical elements and three loops (D, anti-codon, and T loops). Lineage: Eukaryota; Fungi; Microsporidia; Spragueidae. The record is from Rfam.